UACAGAGGGGGCAAGCGUUGUUCGGAAUUACUGGGCGUAAAGGGCGCGUAGGCGGCCUGUUAAGUCGGACGUGAAAUCCCUGGGCUCAACCCAGGAACUGCGUCCGAUACUGGCAGGCUUGAAUCCGGGAGAGGGAUGCGGAAUUCCAGGUGUAGCGGUGAAAUGCGUAGAUAUCUGGAGGAACACCGGUGGCGAAGGCGGCAUCCUGGACCGGCAUUGACGCUGAGGCGCGAAAGCCAGGGGAGCAAACGGG
This 253-nucleotide ribosomal RNA is filed under the name uncultured bacterium. Its description in RNAcentral is "partial 16S ribosomal RNA". It matches the Rfam family "Bacterial small subunit ribosomal RNA", at positions 524 to 776 of the family's 1533-position model. The record is from RNAcentral.